RNAcentral lists this ribosomal RNA (426 nucleotides) under uncultured bacterium. Its description in RNAcentral is "partial 16S ribosomal RNA". It matches the Rfam family "Bacterial small subunit ribosomal RNA", at positions 355 to 774 of the family's 1533-position model. The record is from RNAcentral.
UGGGGAAUAUUGCACAAUGGGCGCAAGCCUGAUGCAGCCAUGCCGCGUGUAUGAAGAAGGCCUUAGGGUUGUAAAGUACUUUCAGCGGGGAGGAAGGUGAUAAGGUUAAUACCCUUGUCAAUUGACGUUACCCGCAGAAGAAGCACCGGCUAACUCCGUGCCAGCAGCCGCGGUAAUACGGAGGGUGCAAGCGUUAAUCGGAAUUACUGGGCGUAAAGCGCACGCAGGCGGUCAAUUAAGUCAGAUGUGAAACCCCGAGCUUAACUUGGGAAUUGCAUCUGAAACUGGUUGGCUAGAGUCUUGUAGAGGGGGGUAGAAUUCCAUGUGUAGCGGUGAAAUGCGUAGAGAUGUGGAGGAAUACCGGUGGCGAAGGCGGCCCCCUGGACAAAGACUGACGCUCAGGUGCGAAAGCGUGGGGAGCAAACA